UGAGGGGUGCCGCGCGGGAACGUCCGUCGGCUGAGAUCAUACCCGCGAACCUGAUCCGGGCAAUGCCGGCGUAGGGAAAGCUGA
RNAcentral lists this non-coding RNA (84 nucleotides) under human gut metagenome. RNAcentral also lists the same sequence under 1 other name. The record is from RNAcentral.